RNAcentral lists this unclassified non-coding RNA (167 nucleotides) under uncultured fungus. RNAcentral describes it as "sequence contains ITS1, 5.8S rRNA gene". The record is from RNAcentral. Lineage: Eukaryota; Fungi.
GUGAAUCAUUAAACUUGGUGCCUGUUCGAAUUUACACUUCGUUCAGCCCUUUUUUAUCACACUAUUUCACACACACUUUGUGCACUCGUACUCCAUUUUUAUUUUAAACACUUUGUGUUUUACAUUUGUAAAUGUUGAUGUGUCUGUUUUUAUGUUAAAUACAAUAA